This 460-nucleotide ribosomal RNA is filed under the name uncultured bacterium. RNAcentral describes it as "partial 16S ribosomal RNA". It matches the Rfam family "Bacterial small subunit ribosomal RNA", at positions 338 to 795 of the family's 1533-position model. The record is from RNAcentral.
CCUACGGGUGGCAGCAGUGAGGAAUAUUGGUCAAUGGACGCAAGUCUGAACCAGCCAUGCCGCGUGCAGGAAGACGGCUCUAUGAGUUGUAAACUGCUUUUGUACGAGGGUAAACGCAGAUACGCGUAUCUUUCUGAAAGUAUCGUACGAAUAAGGAUCGGCUAACUCCGUGCCAGCAGCCGCGGUACUACGGAGGAUUCAAGCGUUAUCCGGAGUUAUUGGGUUUAAAGGGUGCGUAGGCGGUCGGAUAAGUUAGAGGUGAAAUCCCGAGGCUCAACUUCGGAAUUGCCGCUGUUACUGUUCGGCUAGAGAGUAGUUGCGGUAGGCGGAAUGUAUGGUGUAGCGGUGAAAUGCUUAGAGAUCAUACAGAACACCGAUUGCGAAGGCAGCUUACCAAGCUACUUCUGACGUUGAGGCACGAAAGCGUGGGGAGCAAACAGGAUUAGAUACCCCAGUAGUC